This 97-nucleotide transfer RNA is filed under the name Dehalococcoidia bacterium. RNAcentral describes it as "tRNA-Sec". It matches the Rfam family "Selenocysteine transfer RNA". Lineage: Bacteria; Bacillati; Chloroflexota; Dehalococcoidia. The record is from RNAcentral.
GGGAGUGGAUGGUGCCCGGUGGUGUCCGCGGUCUUCAAAACCGUUGCGGGGCCGCGUCGCGGUCCCGGGUGGGUUCGACCCCCACGCACUCCCGCCA